UAGAAUAGUUUUGAGUUUUUUUUUUUCCGUUUAUUUGAGAUUUGUAUGCUUGAGAAAUUCUAUCUCAGUUGAGAGCGAGUUUUAUUGUCGACGGGAGUGGGUUUCUUACAAGUUACCUUGAUAAUUGUUAAGGAGCAUCGUACUUUUCUCUUAUUUCAGGUGGCAUACUUGGCAUUGGAAAAACGUUACAACUUCACUCUUGAUGAUCUUAAUGUUGUUGCAAAUGGGUAUUCACGCUUCCGAAGUUAUCUGAGGGAUGAAGGAGAAUGCAAUGAUCUAAAAAGCAGAUCGUUGCCCUGCUUUGUUGGCAAGCUCAUUGAUCUUACACAGAUUCCACAAUACGUGAGAGAGUACGACAGAGGAAAUGAUGUCGAGCUUUGGCAGAUAAAGUACGAGAAGCGGAAACCCUAACCAGCUUCUGCUUGUAGACAACCUUCCAUUUUUGUAGAACCCCAAUUACCACAUUUUUUUUUUUACUUCUGUUAUUUGGAACUGCAUUCUGGGAAGGAAAGUGCCUUUUUUUCCCAAACUGUCAAAUGACUGUCUGUUGUAUCUAUAACUAACUGUUUGGUUGUUUGAGGUUCAUUUUAUGCAAAUAUAUAUUUACUCAUUUCCAAUA
Molecule: non-coding RNA, 619 nt
Organism: Camellia sinensis
Lineage: Eukaryota; Viridiplantae; Streptophyta; Magnoliopsida; Ericales; Theaceae
Source: RefSeq, a predicted model, not a curated record